This 450-nucleotide ribosomal RNA is filed under the name Bacillus spizizenii. RNAcentral's name for it is "bacterial SSU rRNA". It matches the Rfam family "Bacterial small subunit ribosomal RNA", at positions 91 to 527 of the family's 1533-position model. The record is from RNAcentral. Lineage: Bacteria; Bacillati; Bacillota; Bacilli; Caryophanales; Bacillaceae.
GAUACUGGCGGACGGGUGAGUAACACGUGGGUAACCUGCCUGUAAGACUGGGAUAACUCCGGGAAACCGGGGCUAAUACCGGAUGCUUGUUUGAACCGCAUGGUUCAAACAUAAAAGGUGGCUUCGGCUACCACUUACAGAUGGACCCGCGGCGCAUUAGCUAGUUGGUGAGGUAAUGGCUCACCAAGGCAACGAUGCGUAGCCGACCUGAGAGGGUGAUCGGCCACACUGGGACUGAGACACGGCCCAGACUCCUACGGGAGGCAGCAGUAGGGAAUCUUCCGCAAUGGACGAAAGUCUGACGGAGCAACGCCGCGUGAGUGAUGAAGGUUUUCGGAUCGUAAAGCUCUGUUGUUAGGGAAGAACAAGUACCGUUCGAAUAGGGCGUACCUUGACGGUACCUAACCAGAAAGCCACGGCUAACUACGUGCCAGCAGCCGCGGUAAUACG